RNA transcript from Hirundo rustica (Barn swallow), 9358 nucleotides. It is a transcript of the gene named vesicle associated membrane protein 2, with no coding region annotated. The transcript has 6 exons. NCBI's taxonomy places the organism in Eukaryota, Metazoa, Chordata, Aves, Passeriformes, Hirundinidae. The record is from RefSeq and is a predicted model, not a curated record.
GCUGCCCUGGCUCCGUCACUGCGGGACCGCUCCCGGCAGGAGGGUGUGGAGGGGGCACCUCCGAGCCUCCUACCCUGUGAUGCGAGGCGCAGGCAUGCUCAGUAGCCGAUGCCUACCCCUCCUCUCCCAACAACCGUGCCUGCAACAGUAGGAGCCGGCUGGCAGCGGGCGCGGAGCCGAAAGCCAUCUUUGCUGGGGAGGGAGGCAGCGCUCGCCCCUCGCCAUGUCUGUUCCAGCUUCUGCCCAGGGUCCCAGCGGUGCUGCAGGGGCUGCAGGGCCCCCUCCUGCCACCAAUGUGUCCAGCAACAAGCGGCUGCAGCAGACACAGGCCCAGGUGGACGAGGUGGUGGACAUCAUGAGAAUGAACGUGGACAAGGUGCUGGAAAGGGACCAGAAGCUGUCGGAGCUUGACAACCGGGCAGAUGCAUUGCAAGCAGGUGCCUCACAGUUUGAGACCAGUGCAGCCAAACUGAAGAGGAAAUACUGGUGGAAAAAUUGCAAGCGACAUCCAGGAAUGUGGGGAAAAGGGAUGAGGUGACUCUGGUAUAAGGUGAUGAUGAUCAUCCUUGGUGUAGUAUGCGCAGUCAUUCUCAUUAUAAUUAUAAUUUAUUUCUCCACUUGAAAAAGCAAAGAAGGAAGACUUGGCACAACUUUGUUCAUAUCAGCCGACGAUAUCAGUGUUCCUUUGUUGAACUCCGCUUUUUAAUUCCCGGUGUCUUGGGAUUUUUGCUUGUAAUAACCCAUAAGCAUUCAGUGUGGUGUAUUUUGGAAUUCUGUUGUUUCCACAAGAAACUGUACCAGCUAAAUACUGCCAAGUAGUUCCAUACACUGUCUAAUCACUGUGUCUUAAAAUGUGUACGCACUGACCUUCAGAAACUGUAGUAUGUCAAAAAGCAUCCUAAAACAUCUCAGAAUCAGAGAAUGCAGCUGUGGGGAAGCUCCUAUCUAAAAGGACACUUCAGGUGGAUUGGACCCAAAUCUAAGGUUGCAGCAAAGAUUAGGACCAAAAUUCUCAAUCUGAGCUCCUAAAGUUGGAUGGCAAAAUCCAUUGUCAGAUAUAUCCGUUACUCCCAUUGAAGAGAGUGAUACCUAUAAGUAUUUAUGUAAGAUAGCAUACUUCAAAUUAGCCAACCAAACACUGACAUUUUUGAGAUUAGAUGUAGAAUCCAAGUCUAAAAACAUUGUCCGCAGAAAAUAAAUAAGACUGGUUUAUCAUCUUUUAUGGAUUUAAAUUUUUCCUUAUGGAAAGCACCUCAUGGUGUUCUGAACAACCAAGAUGGCCUCAAUAGGAAUGCCAGAAAGAAAAAACCCUGUAUUACAGCCAAAAAGCAUUAGCUAGCACAGUCCUGAAAAAGCCCAGUGAAAUGCAGAAGUGGUAAUACAAGCGUCACAAAUGACUCAGGUACAUUCCCUUGCUGAGAACUCGAGGCACCAUAUGUCAGGUUUCAUGGGACAUCUCUUGAAUGCGAAUGCCCAAUAAUUCAGCCCUGACUUAGAGCCCAUGAGCAAUCUUGGUGAUGUCUGUGGCUGCCCAGCUCUGUUGGAGGAAGCUGCCUCUGCAGCAGUUUGCAGAAAUGGUCCCUGCUGCCAGGAUCAUUCAAAAAUCAGGAAGAAGGUAAGGGGGAACAGUGGGGAGAGCCUAAGAAAGGGAAGGGUGCCUAGCAAAGCUUUCCUGGGGAAGAGGAAGGAACAGAAACACUGUUCAAAGUGGUGUUAAUAGGCUUUAAAAUAUAUAUAUUUACAUUUGUGCAUGUGGGUAGUUCAUAAAAUAUAGUGUCAUCUUUGUAAAGUGCUCAGCUGAGAUACCUAUUAUACUCAAUUAAUUGAAACUAACAUUUGAUGUAAUUAAAAGAAAUUAUAUAUUGUGGCUUGAGAGAAAGUUCUUGUAUGCUCUUGUGAAUUUCUUGUUUCCUUCUUUUUAAAACAGUGAAUAGUUUAAUCAUCCUUAACCAAACUAAAAAUUAAUUAAUCAAAUUUUUAGCCAGGAAAUUCAGAAAAAGGUCUUUUUAGGAUAACUCCUUCAGAAUUUCAAAAAAGAAUUCACAGAAUUGAAAAAAUAAUUAUUUGGUGAGUUGGGAUUUUUGUCUGCAGUUUAAUUAGGGAAUAGAAACAGUGACCAUAGUAGUGUAAAUAUUCCCACUGUGGAGUGUCUCUCUUGACAUAGUUUUAGAUUUUUAAAAAAUGGAGGGCCUGACCAGUUUGUUGUUGUGAAUCUAUAUAUAAAUUAUGCUGAAGUAGAAUUUUGCAGAGAGACUAAGUAAUGGUCAAUUGAAAGGUUCCAGUGGCAUUUCCCCCUAAAUAUUUAUGCCUUUACAGUCACAUGUACUGCUUCAUAUAAUUAAGUCAUAAGUGGCCCCAGUCUUAAUGAAGCUGAAUAUUCAAAGUUGCUAAUGUGAUAAUGGAUGUCCUGGUAUGCCCUGAUCACUUCAGUCCUUCAGCUGGGUGAUAACAAACAAUUCUGAAAUCCUCAUGAGCUGGACAAAAAUUGUAGCAGAAAUGAAAGGCCUGACUCCGUGAGGUGACACAGCAGUGUAGAAAUGGGCUUUCACUGGCAGGGGAAUGAGCCAUCCAACUUCAGGAGCCUUUUAAAACUGCUAAGAUACCUGGAUAGCCGAUAUGAAGGGAUCACCUGCUAGAAGUGACACCCUGCCACCCACACCCGUGUUGAGCAUGCUGUCCUCACGGGGCUUCUCUACUGAACAGAGCGAGGAGAUGAAGAUACCACCUCCCUUUGCUGGAGGUGGUGCAAUCAGGAGGGUGAAAUGCUGACACUGAGCCUUAAUGCAGAUGUUCCUUCUCUUCUGGGAGGCUGAACUGAUACUCAGCUGAUAGGACUGCAAAUAUACAUUAAAGAGUUUGAAUCCUCUAGCUACAAACACACGAAGCUCCCAAAUGAAACUGGAGAGGGAGUGCUACAAGGAUGCAAAGCUCACAUCCUCCCAGCUAAUGUAGUUCAAGCAACUCACUCACUAAACCAAGUGGGACAUUUAGGUGCGAGUGGAGAAUAAAACUUUUCCUUGUGGAAUGUGCACCCAUUCUCUCUCAAAACUGUAACGAAUGGGGAUGACUGCUAAAUAUAAGUGAGAAUUUCCAAGGAGGAGUUAAGAAACCUGCCUUCUACUGGGUUUUAGAAUGUUUCUGAAAAGACUAUUUCCUCCUGCGUGGUAAUGAAAAAUGGUAAAUUAACAUGUUUAACUUUUCAAAGUUGUUUGCCCGCGGUGUGCUCGUGUAUGCUCAAUGUUUGCUACUACCUGUGCUGUGGUGGUUGGUUGUAAUUGGUGAGAUAAACCAUGUAACCUGUCUAAUUCAGCCCAGGAAGCAUGAAGAAGUGUGUCUUUCCCUGCACAGACCCAGAGCUCAGCUGCUCUCGCAGAGGGUUAAACCUUCAGCAAGGAGAAUAUGGUAAUACAGGACUGUUCAAGGUCGUAGAUUGUGCAACAGCAUCACAUAUGUACAGGCUGGCGCAGAACACAAUCUAUAUAAACACAGUAGGAGAUCUUAUUUGUGUUGAAGGCAGGAUUGAUUGCUUUCCACUUUGAAAUGUCCAUGCAGUUACAACUGCCUGCCUGUAAAUUUUCCAUGAAAAAUGAAAUCAUUCUUGUUCAGUCACCAUCGAUGAAAAUUUCAGCUCCUGCUUUGCACCACGGACUAUUGCCUCAGCUCUUGCCUUGAGCUGGUAAAGCACCACAAAAGGGCUUCCUUUUAGUGAUUCCCUGGCAAACCCUCGGGGGACCCCAAGGCCAUGGCUUUCUCACUGCUACCUUGGGGACCAAACUGAAGCCUCUUCUGGCUUGAAGCAAUGCUUUUGAUAGCUUUAUCCAGAAUUAGACAUUGUUUGGGACCUGCAUAUUCCAUCCUUACAAGAAGCUCCUCCUCUGCUUUCUGGAGCACAGUUGUACAUCCCAGAGGCUGUACAGCAGGAGAUGCCCUUCACACACAGCACGGCUGGAAGGAAGGUGUUAACAGCUGGUCAGCUGCUGCUUGGCUUCUCAAUGAUCUUGUCAGUGAUCCUACAUCAGCUUCUGAGCUUGAGCAAGUGUUGCUUGCACCCACUAUCAACAGGCUACUGAGGUUCUGCUUGGGCAUUACACUUUCUCUCAAAUUUAGUUAACUUGCAGUGACACAGAUGUGGCUUUAAACCCAAAACCAGUGUUGCACAGAACUUGGCAGGAAAACUUAGUGUGGAAGCCCUAAUGAGGUACUUGGCCUGAUUUUCACUUUGACAGCAUUACAUAACAGCACAGUCAAUCCAACAGAGUCGAACCUAAUCCAAUACUAUUAGAAGGAGGAUGGGAGAAUCUGAUAAAGAUUCUGAAUGUAACCUAGGGUCUGUAAGACAAGGGGUGAUUUAGAAAUGUAGUCAAUUGGAUUUCUAAAGCUGGCACUUUGAUUCAGUUGGAACCUGCGUGAUGUUAGUCUCAGGAACAGUUUAGGCAAGUAAGAUAUCUGGCUUUUUUCUUUUUAUAUAGUGAUAUAUAAACACUCAGUGAUGGAAGAGCAGGACGUUAUUGACUGUGCAAGGAAUGAAUUAGAACAGCCUCAAUCUGCUGUGCUUUUGUCUGAGUAGCAAGACCUUUUAAAGUUCUGUUUCUGUCACUGCUCCUCUGACAGGGCUUCACCUUACUUUAAUUUUAUGAGCAGCUGGACUACUUCUGGUCUAAAUACAAUAGAUUUUAGCUCUUAACAGCAAGUUCUUGACUUGGCAUUGACAUUUAACCUGGGGAGCACUUGGGUAUGAUCCAGGACUUACAUCUCAGCCCUGCUUCUCCUGCCCUUUAAACAGGAAGAGGGCUGAAGCAGCAGCCAUAUAAGGCACUGGGCUCCCUCCCAAUGUACACAGUGAGUAUUAGGGAAAGGCCUCAAAGUCUCUUUGAUCUGGAUUUGCAUCCUGACCUGAACUUUAGACCUGUAACAGAUCAUAACCUUUGGGCCCUCUAUCUCAUCAGAAGACUGAGAUGCUCUUCCAGCCAGCUCUUCCUCACCUGAUUUAGGUCCCUGUUGCUAGACAAGAUAUAUUUGAGCCAGAGAAAGCACAAACACCCUCAAAUUAGCUUCCUUAAAAGCAGAAUUAAAAGGCUAAAGAAAGUAGUUUGAAAACAAAAGAAUAGUAGCUAGACAAAUUAUUGGCUGAACGUCUCUCAAAUGGCAAUGUUAUUGUCAGGAGGGAUACUAGAUUGGGAUGUAUGAAACAACCAAACCAGAACCUCACACCAGUUGUUCUUUCUCCAUCUGAUCUACUUCAAAAAUACUUCAGGAAAGGAGUUUGGUUUUGUCUUCAGUUAAUUUCCCUUUCUCAGCUGAUUAAUCUGGGCCUCAAUUGAUGUGCUCAGUAGUUUUUCUUCUCCAUUGAGAACCGUAAGACUCUCUGCCUUUAAACACAUGAAUAAAAAGAGAUCUGAGCCACCCAAGGAGUUCACCUUCCUUCCUGGCGCACUGACAUUUAAAAGCUACAUCUUAGAAUAAAGCAGAGGAACUGUGGCAGUCUGGUUACAUGCAGUUUUGGUGGAGUAAACACUUGAUUAUUCAACAAUGAGUCACUCCCGCAGUAACCUCAUUCUGUCAUGAGUGUAUCACAUCUGCUAACUCUCCAAAGCAAAACCCAGAACCUGCACCGCUUCAAAACAUGAAUUCAGCCUCAUGGUCUGUACGUAACACUCUAUUCAACCAAAGAAGCCAUGUGCUAUAAGCUUCAAAGGGCAAAGUAGUUGUUCUCAAAGAGAAAAUAUCAUAGAGAACAACAAAGACAAUUAUGGAAAAAACCUUCUCCAUUCUUUAGCUCUUCUCAUAGUGUCUGGCUUUUCCGUUAUUCUUCACGUCUCUUUCUGUUCUCUUAGAAAUCCAUUGUGGUUUUGGAGUGCAGUGUAUUUGGAACACAGAAUUGUGGGGCUGUUCUGCCCUCUGGGUUGACUCCCUGCCUUCUGCCACACUGCCACCAUUGCCCUCAGCCAGAGCUCAGCACAACCUCCUCCCCCCAACAUCCAGCUCUCCUCAAACCUCCACUCCCUGGUCGACACCACCUGAGGCAGAACAAGAGACAACAGACAACACCUGGGUCUGGUUCGAAAUUGUGUGAUACAAAAGAAGGCUAAACGGCAGCAUUUUUGCCACACUACCUUAAAUUGUUACAUUGGAAUUUUAAUUAAAUUGAUUUAACAAUUCUUGUUACAGUAAUUUCAUUAAUUUUGUAGGAACGAGAGGAAAUAGCAAAUAAGGAUAUUGUGGUAAUCACAAUAUCAUCAUUUGGGAAGUGAUCCAAGUGAAAUAUUGCUAACAUUCAGUAAACCCCUUUUUAUAAGUGGCUCUACCAAAGAGCACCCUUUUAAUACUACAAUUAAGCAGUGCUUGUCUAUUGUAUUCAAAUACUUCAACUGAACUAUGGCAGCUGGUGGAGUUUUUUCUGGACAAUGCAGGAGAUAGGUGCAGGAAGGAUGGUGCAGCAUUCUUUGCAGGGAGCACCAUUUGGGGUACUCUAGCCCAAGCCAUGGAGCUGCUGGCAGCUGCAGCAGUGGUCAGGGACUGCAGUCAAAUCAGGAUUUCAGAGUGCUUGGGGCAGUAAAGAUCCAGCCUCAAUGUCCACUUUGUCCUAGAGCAGUUUGGGCUCAGUGAUGGAAUUUUUUGACACAGCUACUCUUGAUCCAGCCCAGUACCUGUGCUUGUCCACCUUUAAAUGGUCUAAGGUGAGGAUAAAAAAUCCCUUUGUUGAAUCCAUUACACUCCUGUAAUAUAUAUGUGAACACAUGGUGGUGGUCUGAGCUUUUUGUGAGGAAAAUUUUAAAAGAAUUAAAUCAAUUUUUCCCCCUGAUACAUUGCAGGUUUGUUUAAAGUAUAGUUAAAUAAUGGCAGAUGCAAUUAUUUUCUUUGUAAGACCAAGGAUUGAGAUAGUGCAUAUAAUGGGCCUACAAAUUCAUAGCUGCACAAUGCAUAAGUUUUUUCAGAACUUUAGCUAUUAAUAUUUACAGUGUUGAUCUGAAAGUUUGUUAAAAUUCCUUUAUUAAUAAAAGUAGUCUUGGCUGGAACCAAAAUUCCAGUGAUCAGUGUGACUACCAUGCCACUAGCAAGCUACUAAAUAAUCCAAGUUCAUCCUUUCAUGAAACCCAAUGUGAAAAAUAUUCUGAUUAAAAGUAGAAAUGUAUGGUAAAGACUAUGGGUAUAAAGUUUAACCAUUACUUAUUUACAUAUUAUUUAAGCAAUUAGCAGCUAUAAAAACAGUCAAAUAAUUAGUUUCCAAAGCUUAACUAUAGAUGAAAGAAUAUUAUUUUCUCAUUAGAAAAGCUAACUUCAAUCUAUGUUCCAUCUACUUUUUCCCCAGACAAUAAAAUGCUAAUAUUGCUAUGACACACUCACAGGUCUGCACAAUAAAAUGUUACAGAUAGCUCACUAUUUGUCAUGAAAAACAUCAUUAUUUUUGUAAAUGAAACAUCCUCUCUCUCCCAACCAUAUACAUGGUAAAAUAUUACAUUAGGUUUAUCAGCAUCACUGAAAGAUUAGAAAUUAGCACCUCCUACUCAAGAGUGGGACUUAAAAACAUGCUUUGUCUGUUGCAAAAAUACAUUCUGAGGGGGAAGCACCAACCGUGUACAGGUUAAAGUUUUAUUUGAUAACUCCUUUUUUCCUUCUCCUUUCCAAAGAAGCGCUUAUAUAUGUAGACAGGCAUUUGCCAUUUGGGUGAGACAUUCUCCUUCCAAGUAUGAAAGAGGUGAAACGUCUACUGUGAACAACCUUCAGUUUGUUUUGCAGGAUAAAAAGUCCUCUAAGUGGCAAUAUAUGAACUCUUAUUAUAAACUUGUUAUGCUCAUUACAGGAAAUGAGUUCAUAGCCAGCUAAUUAGUAUUUUCCUUAAUGACUUAUGUUUGAGUCUUAACACAGAGAAGCAGCCUCUGGAGGUGUUUGUGUAAUCAGUUCAGCACUGUGCUAUCUCACGCUCGCCAGCCUGGAGUGAGGAGCAAGGCAUGCCCUGGUGUGGAAGGGACUUCAACGUGUGCCACUUCAACGUGUGCCUAAGCAUACAGGGAAUUUCUGUUUUCUGUUUAACACAACAAAAAAACCCUCAUUUGUGCUUGCUAAAUCCAGACCUGGCAUGCAAUCUGUGCCAUGUUCUAAUUCGGAAGAGGAAAAACCUUUCCUUUGAAUGAUAAAACAAUUAGGGAGAAAAGGACUGCUGGGGUUGCCCGCUCCGAUGUCCUGCUCCAAGCAGGGCUGCCUUUGAGCUUGGAGCAGCUUGCAAGGGUUUUGUCUUGGUGGGGUUUGAAAAUCUCCAAGGCCCAUGGCUUCACAACAAAUUGUGUCACUGGGUAUGUUCAAUGCCCUACCAAGGCUGAUGCAAGUGCAGGAAAGACCUUUGUAAAUGCACGUGGUUUACGGUUUUGCCUUUUUGUUCCAUUGUGCAGUGAGUAAAAUUCAGAGCUCGUGGAAUUAAGUGCAACCCCCCUUUUUUCAAAGAACUUCCUCUGACAUCAAGAAAUUUUCUUUCCUUCUUGUUGCCAUUGGUCUAAGGCAGAUGUGAUCAUGCUGAGGAUAUCAGUGCAUUCUCUCCCCUCUGUGUGUGUGUGUGUGUGUGUGUGUGAAGCCUGCUUCUCUGGCACUGAAACUGGAAUAGGCAUAGAAUCAGAUUCAGGACAUCUGCUGAAGUCUUGCUCUUUAUUAUCUGAGAUCAGUGACAACAUUUUGAGUGGCUAUUAAGUUACUAGACUGGCACCAAAGAAAAAAAAAAGAUUUACUGAGAUUACUCUUUCUCCUUCCUCACAAGUAUCCUUGGCAAUGCCACACCUGGUUCAAAUGCUGAUGGAAUGGCAGUGCAAAAUAAAAACCUUUCUUCUACCUCUUUCCUUGUAAUUCUUCAAGCUUUACUUCCUGUAAAGGGAAUAAUCAGAAAUAAGUUUUCAGUUGCCCAUUUAAAAGCCCAAACUCCAGACCAAAUCCCUAAUUGCAUUGUUUUAAAGGCCACACAGUGGUGUUAAGCUCUGUAGUAACGCACUCAGAAAGGACCUGAAAGUCUGUGCUGAGAACAGCAUCUCUCACCUCAUAGACUCAGCUGUACUGAGCAAGGAGCUGUGAUUUGUGCCUCUACAAAAAACAAUCCAUUUGCACCUUAUUGGAAUGAUCUGGAGAGGAAAAAAAAAAAUAAUGUUGUGGAGACCAGGACAUUUCUUAAAGUGCUUUACCUGGAGGUCAGUGGAAUUUCAUUUAUAAAUGAUAAAAUGCAUGUAUUUUGAUGCUGAAAUUGUGGUGACUUAUAAAGUUUGAUAUUACUGUACUUUUCUGUGAACAGUGAUUUUUUUGAAGUGGCGAACAUAUUUUCCAAGAAUAUCGUAGACAUUUGUAACAUGUAUGUUUGUGCCAAUAAAUCUUGUUUUAAGAA